RNAcentral lists this ribosomal RNA (494 nucleotides) under uncultured bacterium. RNAcentral's name for it is "partial 16S ribosomal RNA". It matches the Rfam family "Bacterial small subunit ribosomal RNA", at positions 28 to 507 of the family's 1533-position model. The record is from RNAcentral.
GACGAACGCUGGCGGCGUGCUUAACACAUGCAAGUCGAACGGAAAGGCCUGCUUUCCCUUGUGGAUUGCGGGUACUCGAGUGGCGAACGGGUGAGUAACACGUGAGUGAUCUGCCCCCAACUUGGGUAUAAGCCUGGGAAACUGGGUCUAAUUCCCGAUAGGACUGCAGGGUGGUGCCUGUGGUGGAAAACGAUUUUCUAGUGGUUGGGGAUGAGCUCGCGGCCUAUCAGCUUGUUGGUGGGGUAAUGGCCUACCAAGGCGGCGACGGGUAGCCGGCCUGGGAGGGUGGACGGCCACGUUGGGACUGAGAUACGGCCCAGACUCCUACGGGAGGCAGCAGUGGGGAAUAUUGCACGAUGGGCGGAAGCCUGAUGCAGCGACGCCGCGUGGGGGACGACGGCCUUCGGGUUGUGAACUCCUUUCGACCGCGAGGAAGCCACCUGGUUGGAAGGGUGGUGACGGUAGUGGUAGAAGAAGCACCGGCUAACUACGUG